GGUGGCUCAGCGGUAGAGAGCUUGCCUUGCAUGCAUGAGGCCCUGGGUUCAAUUCCUCAGCACCA
This 65-nucleotide transfer RNA is filed under the name Dipodomys ordii (Ord's kangaroo rat). It matches the Rfam family "tRNA". Rfam says of the family: Transfer RNA (tRNA) molecules are approximately 80 nucleotides in length. Their secondary structure includes four short double-helical elements and three loops (D, anti-codon, and T loops). Further hydrogen bonds mediate the characteristic L-shaped molecular structure. tRNAs have two regions of fundamental functional importance: the anti-codon, which is responsible for specific mRNA codon recognition, and the 3' end, to which the tRNAs corresponding amino acid is attached (by aminoacyl-tRNA synthetases). tRNAs cope with the degeneracy of the genetic code in two manners: having more than one tRNA (with a specific anti-codon) for a particular amino acid; and 'wobble' base-pairing, i.e. permitting non-standard base-pairing at the 3rd anti-codon position. The record is from Rfam by way of RNAcentral. Lineage: Eukaryota; Metazoa; Chordata; Mammalia; Rodentia; Heteromyidae.